Non-coding RNA from Hypoxylon crocopeplum, 91 nucleotides. NCBI's taxonomy places the organism in Eukaryota, Fungi, Ascomycota, Sordariomycetes, Xylariales, Hypoxylaceae. The record is from the annotation of a GenBank genome assembly.
GGGCUUGUGGUUUAGUGGUAUAAUACCCGCUUAGCAUUCCGAAGUAAAUGUGACAUGCGGGUGGUCCGGGGUUCGAUUCCCCGCGAGUCCA